This 676-nucleotide ribosomal RNA is filed under the name uncultured bacterium. RNAcentral describes it as "bacterial SSU rRNA". It matches the Rfam family "Bacterial small subunit ribosomal RNA", at positions 139 to 813 of the family's 1533-position model. The record is from RNAcentral.
GGGGACAACCCGCCGAAAGGCGGGCUAAACCCGCGUACAUGCCACCGGGGCAUCCCGGAGGCAGGAAAGGCUUCGGCCGGACAGGGAUGGGCAUGCGGCGCAUUAGGCAGUAGGCGGGGUAACGGCCCACCUAACCGACGAUGCGUAGGGGUUCUGAGAGGAAGGUCCCCCACACUGGUACUGAGACACGGACCAGACUCCUACGGGAGGCAGCAGUGAGGAAUAUCGGUCAAUGGUCGGGAGACUGAACCAGCCAAGCCGCGUGAGGGAUGAAGGUACAGAGUAUCGUAAACCUCUUUUGUCAGGGAACAAAGGCGGGGACGUGUCCCCGGAUGAGUGUACCUGAAGAAAAAGCAUCGGCUAACUCCGUGCCAGCAGCCGCGGUAAUACGGAGGAUGCGAGCGUUAUCCGGAUUUAUUGGGUUUAAAGGGUGCGCAGGCGGUCUGUUAAGUCAGCGGUCAAAGCCCGGGGCUCAACCCCGGCCCGCCGUUGAAACUGGCAGUCUCGAGUUGGAGAGAAGUAUGCGGAAUGCGCGGUGUAGCGGUGAAAUGCAUAGAUAUCGCGCAGAACUCCGAUUGCGAAGGCAGCAUGCCGGCUCCACACUGACGCUGAGGCACGAAAGCGUGGGUAUCGAACAGGAUUAGAUACCCUGGUAGUCCACGCAGUAAACGAUGAA